Molecule: ribosomal RNA, 758 nt
Filed under: uncultured Prevotella sp.
Lineage: Bacteria; Pseudomonadati; Bacteroidota; Bacteroidia; Bacteroidales; Prevotellaceae
Description: bacterial SSU rRNA
Rfam family: Bacterial small subunit ribosomal RNA
Source: RNAcentral
GAUGAACGCUAGCUACAGGCUUAACACAUGCAAGUCGAGGGGCAGCAUGGAAGAAGCUUGCUUCUUCUGAUGGCGACCGGCGCACGGGUGCGUAACGCGUAUCAAACCUGCCUCAUACUCGGGGAUAGCCUUGCGAAAGUAAGAUUAAUACCCGAUGUUGUUAUGUUUCCGCAUGGUGAUAUAACCAAAGAUUUAUCGGUAUGAGAUGGUGAUGCGUCCGAUUAGGUAGUAGGCGGGGUAACGUCCCACCUAGCCAUCGAUCGGUAGGGGUUCUGAGAGGAAGGUCCCCCACACUGGAACUGAGACACGGUCCAGACUCCUACGGGAGGCAGCAGUGAGGAAUAUUGGUCAAUGGACGGAAGUCUGAACCAGCCAAGUAGCGUGCAGGAUGACGGCCCUCCGGGUUGUAAACUGCUUUUAGUUGGGAAUAAAAAGAGGGACGUGUCCCUUCUUGUAUGUACCUUCAGAAAAAGGACCGGCUAAUUCCGUGCCAGCAGCCGCGGUAAUACGGAAGGUCCAGGCGUUAUCCGGAUUUAUUGGGUUUAAAGGGAGCGUAGGCGGAUUAUUAAGUCAGUGGUGAAAGACGGUGGCUCAACCAUCGUUAGCCAUUGAAACUGGUAGUCUUGAGUGCAGACAGGGAUGCUGGAACUCGUGGUGUAGCGGUGAAAUGCUUAGAUAUCACGAUGAACUCCGAUCGCGAAGGCAGGUGUCCGGGCUGCAACUGACGCUGAGGCUCGAAAGUGUGGGUAUCAAACAGG